ACCGUUAAUACUGAGCGCUACCGACAACAAAUGAUCGAUUUGAAUCAAGCUUUGCUUGCUUAGAGAAUCAAGAAUCAAGCUUCAUGAUAAUGCACCAUCACAUACAGCAAAACCGGUCAAGGAAACGAUCGAAGCGUUCAGUUGGGAAAUACUUUCGCACGCGGCUUACUCACCAGACUUGGCUCCGUCCGAUUACUAUUUAUUUGCAUCGAUGGGACACGCACUUUCUAACCAGCACUUCACUUCUUACGAAAAUAUACGAAAAUGCCUCGAUGACUGGUUUGCCUCAAAAGAGCGACAUUUUUUUCGCGUGACAUCCACCAAUUGCCAAACAGGUGGGAAAAAUGUAUAGCUAGCGAUGGGCAAUACUUCGAAUAAAAUAUUUUUAAUCAUUUUCAUACAAUAAACGUGUAUUUUCUAUACAAAAAUUCCGGUUUCAUAUUUACAUACCUGGUAUAUUUAUCUCACACAAACGUAAUAGUAUUACUUUUGCGUAGGUAUUUGGAAAAAUUGACAAACGCAUAUAUGCGUCCUUAAUCCAUGCCGGGCACUUACAGAAAACGCAUAUAUGUGUCCUUAGUCCACACCGAUAGCUUUCACCAGACGCAUAUACGCGCCCAUAGCACUCUAAGGGUUUACUAACUGAAUAAAAAAAUAAUAAUAUAAAAUACUUUUCGCAUUAUCACAGUUGAAAGAGAUAUUUUCGUAGCCUUAUUCGGAUGGAUCACAUGGCAGAUUACUACACACAUACGUUUCUUUCUCGCU
Molecule: unclassified non-coding RNA, 765 nt
Filed under: Bombus terrestris (buff-tailed bumblebee)
Lineage: Eukaryota; Metazoa; Arthropoda; Insecta; Hymenoptera; Apidae
Description: misc RNA ENSBTSG00005033490.1
Source: RNAcentral